GACGAACGCUGGCGGCGUGCUUAACACAUGCAAGUCGAACGAUGAAGAAAAGAAUCGAAGCUUCGGCAGAAAUUCAUUUCGGAUUAGUGGCAGACGGGUGAGUAACGCGUGAGCAACCUACCCCUUACAAAGGGAUAGCCUCGGGAAACCGGGAUUAAUACCAUAUAACAUUGUGACGAAGCAUUUCGAUGCAAUCAAAGCUACGGCGGUAAGAGAUGGGCUCGCGUCCCAUUAACCGGAUGGUGAGGUAACGGCUCACCAUAGUGACGAUGGGUAACCGGCCUGAGAGGGUGAACGGUCACACUGGAACUGAGACACGGUCCAGACUCCUACGGGAGGCAGCAGUGGGGAAUAUUGCACAAUGGAGGGAACUCUGAUGCAGCGACGCCGCGUGAGUGAUGAAGGAAUUCGUUUCGUAAAACUCUGUUCUAUGGGAAGAAAAGGACUGUACCAUAGGAGAAAGCUCCGGCUAAAUACGUG
Molecule: ribosomal RNA, 480 nt
Filed under: uncultured bacterium
Lineage: Bacteria
Description: partial 16S ribosomal RNA
Rfam family: Bacterial small subunit ribosomal RNA
Source: RNAcentral